This 449-nucleotide ribosomal RNA is filed under the name uncultured bacterium. RNAcentral's name for it is "partial 16S ribosomal RNA". It matches the Rfam family "Bacterial small subunit ribosomal RNA", at positions 29 to 523 of the family's 1533-position model. The record is from RNAcentral.
AACGAACGCUGGCGGCAGGCUUAACACAUGCAAGUCGAACGGUCUCUUCGGAGGCAGUGGCAGACGGGUGAGUAACGCGUGGGAAUCUACCCAGUUCUACGGAACAACUGAGGGAAACUUCAGCUAAUACCGUAUACGCCCCAAGGGGGAAAGAUUUAUCGGAAUUGGAUGAGCCCGCGUAAGAUUAGCUAGUUGGUGGGGUAAUGGCCUACCAAGGCGACGAUCUUUAGCUGGUCUGAGAGGAUGAUCAGCCACACUGGGACUGAGACACGGCCCAGACCCCUACGGGAGGCAGCAGUGGGGAAGAUUGGACAAUGGGCGCAAGCCUGAUCCAGCCAUGCCGCGUGAGUGAUGAAGGCCCUAGGGUUGUAAAGCUCUUUCAGUGGGGACGAUAAUGACGGUACCCACAGAAGAAGCCCCGGCUAACUUCGUGCCAGCCGCCGCAGUAA